This 529-nucleotide ribosomal RNA is filed under the name uncultured bacterium. Its description in RNAcentral is "partial 16S ribosomal RNA". It matches the Rfam family "Bacterial small subunit ribosomal RNA", at positions 355 to 874 of the family's 1533-position model. The record is from RNAcentral.
UGGGGAAUAUUGGACAAUGGGCGCAAGCCUGAUCCAGCCAUACCGCGUGGGUGAAGAAGGCCUUCGGGUUGUAAAGCCCUUUUGUUGGGAAAGAAAAGCAGUCGGUUAAUACCCGAUUGUUCUGACGGUACCCAAAGAAUAAGCACCGGCUAACUUCGUGCCAGAGCCGCGGUAAUACGAAGGGUGCGAGCGUUACUCGGAAUUACUGGGCGUAAAGCGUGCGUAGGUGGUUGUUUAAGUCUGUCGUGAAAAGCCCUGGGCUCAACCUGGGAAUUGCGAUGGAAACUGGGCGACUAGAGUGUGGCAGAGGGUAGUGGAAUUCCUGGUGUAGCAGUGAAAUGCGUAGAGAUCAGGAGGAACAUCCGUGGCGAAGGCGACUGCCUGGGCCAACACUGACACUGAGGCACGAAAAGCGUGGGGAGCAAACAGGAUUAGAUACCCUGUAGUCCACGCCCUAAACGAUGCGAAACUGGAUGUUGGGUGCAAUUUGGCACGCAGUAUCGAAGCUAACGCGUUAAGUUCGCCGCCU